RNAcentral lists this ribosomal RNA (460 nucleotides) under uncultured bacterium. Its description in RNAcentral is "partial 16S ribosomal RNA". It matches the Rfam family "Bacterial small subunit ribosomal RNA", at positions 338 to 795 of the family's 1533-position model. The record is from RNAcentral.
CCUACGGGUGGCAGCAGUGAGGAAUAUUGGUCAAUGGACGAGAGUCUGAACCAGCCAAGUAGCGUGAAGGAUGACUGCCCUAUGGGUUGUAAACUUCUUUUGCCGGGGAGCAAGCCUGAGCACGUGUGCCCAGGCGGAGAGUACCCGGAGAAAAAGCAUCGGCUAACUCCGUGCCAGCAGCCGCGGUAAUACGGGGGAUGCGAGCGUUAUCCGGAUUUAUUGGGUUUAAAGGGUGCGCAGGCGGGCUGUUAAGCCGGCGGUAAAAAUUCAGGGCUCAACCCUGUCGAGCCGUCGGAACUGGCAGUCUUGAGUGGGCGAGAAGUAUGCGGAAUGCGGGGUGUAGCGGUGAAAUGCAUAGAUAUCACGCAGAACGCCGAUUGCGAAGGCAGCAUACCGGCGCCCAACUGACGCUGAGGCACGAAAGCGUGGUGAUCGAACAGGAUUAGAUACCCUAGUAGUC